Cephus cinctus (wheat stem sawfly) is the source of this 2315-nucleotide long non-coding RNA. RefSeq lists it as uncharacterized. Lineage: Eukaryota; Metazoa; Arthropoda; Insecta; Hymenoptera; Cephidae. The record is from RefSeq and is a predicted model, not a curated record. The transcript is spliced from 3 exons.
GCCACGUGAUUCAGGUAGAAGUCAGUUAGAAACAAUUGCAUUAUUUUUAAUGAAACAAAAUCGAUGUCUCCAUUUCUUAAUAAUGUCAUAGGAUACUUAUGGAGAAUUCAAUUGCGUCACGUUUCGUUGGCAACUCAGGGCACCUCCUUCUCCACGUUUGAACGAUCAGGGUAUAAAUGAUCAGUCCUGUGAAUGGCGGCACAUGUACCUUUCUUCUCUAUGAGCAGUCUGUCAUGUAUUAUAUAUGGAAACUAAAUAAAAAUAGCCUCGACUGGUAUAUUCGUGACAUUCUUAUCAGAAAGGAAUGUCUGGAGAGGCAGUCGGGGAAAGAUAAUGUAAAAAUGGUAUAAGGAAAGUGGAAAAAAGUAUAAAAGUGAAGCACGUGGAAGGCGUAGGUAAUCCAACGGACAGUCACAAUCUAGAUCUAGAAAAUGGCUGAAAAAUCCGCAAUUGCAUUUUUUUCGUUGACCAGAAGCCAUAAGCCACGAGAGCUACAAGAGUGGCUCGACCACAGAAUUUCGAUAGGUACUUACCUACGACCUGGGUACGAGGUUCGAGAAAGAGUUGGAAACUCGAGGAAAAUUGUUCGCUGGUUGCAAAAGAAGGAGCUAAGGAGGUGUAUAGGACAAGUAUAUACAUAGACAGGUAGCCAAGCAUCCUCACCGAAAGUUGAGCACGAUAAAGAUCAGAGUUUGUAAAAAUCGGGUGACGAAGUUCGACAUAUAACUGGAAAUGGAAAAUGGGUGUCAAUGAAAAGAGGACUAGUUACUGAAUCCGCAGAAUUCUGAUUGGUCUAAUAUGGAAGAAGUCAAAGUUUCCCAGGAAAUAUUUUCAGUCUGGCUGCAUAUGCCGAAUAAGGGAGGAAUGUUCGUUGGAAGACGUGCGCGUCCAGGUCACUACAGUAGACAGUACGUAUCAUCGGUAUUAACGUGACGUUAACGAGAGUGCAGUGUAACGUAACGGGAAAAACCAAAGCUCGUAAAACUGAGAAUGAAAAACCAUAACUACCUGGCGAUUGGUUUGGCGAUCCAUGAGGUGCCUGCGUGAAAUCAUAAACUCACGUCCUCAGCAAUGUCAUCGUGCGGCGUUUGGUUACUGCUUGUAAAAUUUUAAAGUGACAGAUGGACGGAGAAAUAAAAAGUAGACAUCAUCACGGGUAAUAGUAAUAGUACCUAACCUAUCUGACCUAACUUAUAAAUACAUAGUAUGAUAAGGUUAUAUGAUUUAAUCAAAUUUCCAUCAUUUGCCUAUCAUGCUCUAAUCUUUUAUUUGGGGUUCAAGGAAGAACUUUGAAGACCGUGUGCGCGAUUUUUGAACGAUGAUCGAUCAAUUGCGAUUGAUGCUCAAAAUUAAACAUCCUGGGGAUACGUAAGUAUCCUUGGUCCUUUGAUGGUAAUCACUAAUCAGGGCAGCGGGAACGUGUCUACAUAGCUGAUUAGCCGCAAGGUUAAUUGUAAGAUCAGAGAGCGUACAUUGCAUUGUAUGGUUUUGAGGUAGGUCAAUAGAGUAACAUACGUUGUCGUCUUGUUAAUCGAUACAGUGCACACCGAGGGAUAUAUUUGCAACAGUGACUAUGCAAUUAUGUAGAACGAUUGACAGAAAAUGGAUGAUCAGGGUUCUUGUAUGACGCAUCAGGACUUUUGUUAAUCAUGGGCGUGGAUCAGGACGUUAUCUAGAACGGAAAUUAAUGCGAGUGUGAAUUUGACUCAGGUUAUACCGGAUGCCGGAGAUAUCUAGAACCUAGGGGAGUUUGUUCUUAGGCUUCCCAUUGGCACUCUUGAUGGCGACUCGAUUGUCUCUAGCUUGUCGCAAUUCGGCCAAUGAAUGAAGCUUCCCUUUUACGUGUAAACUCAGUCGCGCUUCGUUCACACCAUAGUAUCUUCUCUGUCGCUCGCACGACCUGAGGUACGUGAAUAAUCCUGCACAACUCUCCUCUCUUACCUUUACUACACGGCGUCAACAAGCUGGACACCAUUAAUGAAGCUUAUCCGAAUUCAAGAUUACAUUUUCUUUUAAAAUUUAUAUAUAUCACAAUGUAUUUACAUUUUAUAUCUCUAACAAUACAGAUCCGAGUGCUUAGAACUUCUUUGAUAUAUCCCGUUGAGCAGCGAAAAAUUGUGGUGUCUGUUGAACGAAUCCGUGCUCCACGCGUCUCGUCAGUUCACGUGUUGUCUUUUCGUUAAUUUAAGUUACAUACUUUCUGUUUUUGCGUUCUCUCGAAUCUUGUGGAACUUUUGUAGUAAUUAUCUUUUCUGUUGCGAAUAUUGUUAACGUGUCGUGAAGAGUAUCUUGUCUCGCAUGAUAUUUAUUUUGAA